Molecule: ribosomal RNA, 254 nt
Filed under: uncultured bacterium
Lineage: Bacteria
Description: partial 16S ribosomal RNA
Rfam family: Bacterial small subunit ribosomal RNA
Source: RNAcentral
CACGUAGGGUGCGAGCGUUGUCCGGAAUUAUUGGGCGUAAAGAGCUCGUAGGCGGUGUGUCGCGUCGGCCGUGAAAACCUGCAGCUUAACUGUGGGCUUGCGGUCGAUACGGGCAUCACUGGAGUUCGGCAGGGGAGACUGGAAUUCCUGGUGUAGCGGUGAAAUGCGCAGAUAUCAGGAGGAACACCGGUGGCGAAGGCGGGUCUCUGGGACGGUACUGACGCUGAGACGCGAAAGCGUGGGGAGCGAACAGG